Molecule: long non-coding RNA, 262 nt
Filed under: Chinchilla lanigera (long-tailed chinchilla)
Lineage: Eukaryota; Metazoa; Chordata; Mammalia; Rodentia; Chinchillidae
Description: lncRNA (ENSCLAG00000026269.1)
Source: RNAcentral
GCGCUUCCGUGCAGUCCCCUCCACAUCAACACUGCUUUUCCUCUUCCGUCCGGACACCCUGGGCUCUGACUGAGCACAUUACUACUGUAUUCUGUCGCGCUUUACAGUAAGCACACAGCACAACCGUGAGAACUACGCCAGACAGCACCUAGCCAGACCUUCUCCUAUCGUGAACAAACUGUAUACUCCACGGUAAGGGCUGGUGUGAUGAUCUCUCUUCAGACUUUCAGUUCCUGCCAGAGGUGUAGGCAUGGCUCUAACG